UCCGUAGGGUGCAAGCGUUGUCCGGAAUUAUUGGGCGUAAAGAGCUUGUAGGCGGUUUGUCGCGUCUGCUGUGAAAUUUCGGGGCUCAACCCCGAACUUGCAGUGGGUACGGGCAGACUAGAGUGUGGUAGGGGAGACUGGAAUUCCUGGUGUAGCGGUGAAAUGCGCAGAUAUCAGGAGGAACACCGAUGGCGAAGGCAGGUCUCUGGGCCAUAACUGACGCUGAGAAGCGAAAGCAUGGGGAGCGAACAGG
RNAcentral lists this ribosomal RNA (253 nucleotides) under uncultured bacterium. RNAcentral describes it as "partial 16S ribosomal RNA". It matches the Rfam family "Bacterial small subunit ribosomal RNA", at positions 524 to 776 of the family's 1533-position model. The record is from RNAcentral.